ACGUCCAUACCCCACUGAAUACACCAGUUCUCGCGAUCACCGAAGUUAAGCAGCGUCAAGCGCGUCAGUACUUGGAUGGGUGACCGUCUGGGAACACCGAGUGAUGUU
This is a non-coding RNA of Eumeta japonica, 108 nucleotides long. Lineage: Eukaryota; Metazoa; Arthropoda; Insecta; Lepidoptera; Psychidae. The record is from the annotation of a GenBank genome assembly.